This 400-nucleotide ribosomal RNA is filed under the name uncultured bacterium. RNAcentral's name for it is "bacterial SSU rRNA". It matches the Rfam family "Bacterial small subunit ribosomal RNA", at positions 356 to 773 of the family's 1533-position model. The record is from RNAcentral.
GGGGGAUAUUGCACAAUGGGGGAAACCCUGAUGCAGCAAUGCCGCGUGAGGGAAGAAGGUCUUCGGAUUGUAAACCUAAGUAGCCAGGGACGAUAAUGACGGUACCUGGAGAGUAAGCUCCGGCUAACUACGUGCCAGCAGCCGCGGUAAUACGUAGGGAGCGAGCGUUGUCCGGAUUUACUGGGUGUAAAGGGUGCGUAGGCGGGAUGGCAAGUCAGAUGUGAAAUACCGGGGCUUAACCCCGGGGCUGCAUUUGAAACUGUCGUUCUUGAGUGAAGUAGAGGCAGGCGGAAUUCCUAGUGUAGCGGUGAAAUGCGUAGAUAUUAGGAGGAACACCAGUGGCGAAGGCGGCCUGCUGGGCUUUAACUGACGCUGAGGCACGAAAGCAUGGGGAGCAAAC